UACAGAGGUCUCAAGCGUUGUUCGGAUUCAUUGGGCGUAAAGGGUGCGUAGGCGGCGUGGUAAGUCGGGUGUGAAAUCUCGGAGCUUAACUCCGAAACUGCAUUCGAUACUGCCGUGCUUUGAGGACUGGAGAGGAGACUGGAAUUUACGGUGUAGCGGUGAAAUGCGUAGAUAUCGUAAGGGAAGACCAGUGGCGGAAGGCGGGUCUCUGGACAGUUCCUGACGCUGAGGCACGAAGGUCAGGGGAGCAAACGGG
Molecule: ribosomal RNA, 256 nt
Filed under: uncultured bacterium
Lineage: Bacteria
Description: partial 16S ribosomal RNA
Rfam family: Bacterial small subunit ribosomal RNA
Source: RNAcentral